AGGCUGGCGACCGAAGCCCCGAUAAACGGCGGCCGUAACUAUGACGGUCCUAAGGUAGCGAAGUUCCUUGUCGGGUAAGUUCCGACCUGCACGAAUGGCGUAACGACUUCCCCACUGUCUCGACCAGGAGCUCGGCGAAAUUGCAGUACGAGUAAAGAUGCUCGUUAAGCGCAGAAGGACGAAAAGACCCCGGGACCUUUACUAUACCUUGGUAUUGGCGUUAGGCGCGGAUUGUGUAGCAUAGGCGGGAGGCUUCGAAGCGGGUGCGCCAGCAUUCGUGGAGCCGCAAGGUGAAAUACCGCUCUGUUCUCGUUUGACGUCUAACCUCGACAAGUCAUCCUUGUCAGGGACAGUGCCUGGCGGGUAGUUUAACUGGGGCGGUUGCCUCCCAAAGAGUAACGGAGGCGCGCGAAGGUUCCCUCAGGCUGAUUGGAAACCAGCCGUAGAGUGUAAAGGCAUAAGGGAGCUUGACUGCGAGAGAGACAUCUCGAGCAGGUACGAAAGUAGGUCUUAGUGAUCCGGUGGUUCUGUAUGGAAGGGCCAUCGCUCAACGGAUAAAAGGUACUCUGGGGAUAACAGGCUGAUACCGCCCAAGAGUUCAUAUCGACGGCGGUGUUUGGCACCUCGAUGUCGGCUCAUCUCAUCCUGGGGCUGUAGCCGGUCCCAAGGGUAUGGCUGUUCGCCAUUUAAAGAGGUACGUGAGCUGGGUUUAAAACGUCGUGAGACAGUUUGGUCCCUAUCUUCCGUGGGCGCUGCAAGAUUGAGAGAGCCUGCUCCUAGUACGAGAGGACCGGAGUGGACGCACCUCUGGUGUAUCGGUUGUCACGCCAGUGGCAUCGCCGAGUAGCUAUGUGCGGAAGAGAUAACCGCUGAAAGCAUCUAAGCGGGAAACUCGUCUCAAGAUUAGUCUUGCCGGGGCCUUGAGCCCCCUGAAGAGUCGUUCGAGACCAGGACGUUGAUAGGCCAGGUGUGGAAGCGCAGUAAUGCGUUAAGCUAACUGGUACUAAUUGCUCGUGAGGCUUGACCCU
Molecule: ribosomal RNA, 1028 nt
Filed under: Alloteropsis angusta
Lineage: Eukaryota; Viridiplantae; Streptophyta; Magnoliopsida; Poales; Poaceae
Description: bacterial LSU rRNA
Rfam family: Bacterial large subunit ribosomal RNA
Source: RNAcentral